RNAcentral lists this ribosomal RNA (397 nucleotides) under uncultured bacterium. RNAcentral describes it as "partial 16S ribosomal RNA". It matches the Rfam family "Bacterial small subunit ribosomal RNA", at positions 523 to 918 of the family's 1533-position model. The record is from RNAcentral.
AUACGUAAGUGACAAGCGUUAUCCGGAUUUACUGGGUGUAAAGGGCGUGUAGGCGGUUUAGCAAGUCAGAAGUGAAAUUCCCGGGCUUAACUUGGGCGCUGCUUCUGAAACUGCUUUACUUGAGUGCUGGAGAGGAUAGUGGAAUUCCUAGUGUAGCGGUAAAAUGCGCAGAUAUUAGGAGGAACACCGGUGGCGAAGGCGGCUAUCUGGACAGUAACUGACGCUGAGGCGCGAAAGCACGGGGAGCAAACAGGAUUAGAUACCCUGGUAGUCCGUGCCGUAAACGAUGAAUACUAGGUGUAGGGGGUAUCGACUCCCUCUGUGCCGCAGUUAACACAUUAAGUAUUCCACCUGGGGAGUACGGCCGCAAGGUUGAAACUCAAAUGAAUUGACGGGG